Fictibacillus enclensis is the source of this 114-nucleotide regulatory RNA element. It matches the Rfam family "epsC RNA". NCBI's taxonomy places the organism in Bacteria, Bacillati, Bacillota, Bacilli, Caryophanales, Fictibacillaceae. The record is from Rfam.
AGGUGAUGCCUCCUUACCUCUAUCAAAGGAGGCACUCGGUUAUGCUGUGGGUGUCUUACAGCACCUUAGACGCGAGUCGUCGAUAGCAUGAUGUGAGGACGGGUUAAAUGCCCU